GCUCACGGCCAUACCAGCCUGGGUACGCCCGAUCUCGUCUGAUCUCGGAAGCUAGGCAGGGUCGGGCCUGGUUAGUACUUGGAUGGGAGACCGCCUGGGAAUACCAGGUGCUGUAAGCA
This 119-nucleotide ribosomal RNA is filed under the name Salmo salar (Atlantic salmon). Lineage: Eukaryota; Metazoa; Chordata; Actinopteri; Salmoniformes; Salmonidae. The record is from RNAcentral.